This 231-nucleotide ribosomal RNA is filed under the name uncultured bacterium. Its description in RNAcentral is "partial 16S ribosomal RNA". It matches the Rfam family "Bacterial small subunit ribosomal RNA", at positions 99 to 334 of the family's 1533-position model. The record is from RNAcentral.
CGGACGGGUGAGUAAUGUCUGGGAAACUGCCCGAUGGAGGGGGGUAACUACUGGAAACGGUAGCUAAUACCGCAUAACGUCGCAAGACCAAAGAGGGGGACCUUCGGGCCUCUUGCCAUCGGAUGUGCCCAGAUGGGAUUAGCUAGUAGGUGGGGUAACGGCUCACCUAGGCGACGAUCCCUAGCUGGUCUGAGAGGAUGACCAGCCACACUGGAACUGAGCACGGUCCAG